Molecule: ribosomal RNA, 389 nt
Filed under: Pseudocalanus sp.
Lineage: Eukaryota; Metazoa; Arthropoda; Copepoda; Calanoida; Clausocalanidae
Description: partial small subunit ribosomal RNA
Rfam family: Eukaryotic small subunit ribosomal RNA
Source: RNAcentral
AUUCCAGCUCCAAUAGCGUAUAUUAAAGUUGUUGUGGUUAAAAAGCUCGUAGUUGGAUCUCGGCGGUCUGAGGGCGGUUCGCUUCAGAGCGCUACUGCCCUAUAGACCGUAGUUUUGCCAGAGGUCUCAGGGUGCUCUUAACCGAGUGUCUUGCGAUGCUGGCAGGUUUACUUUGAAAAAAUUAGAGUGCUCAAAGCAGGCUUUUACGCCUGAAUAUUCGUGCAUGGAAUAAUAGAAUAGGACUUUUUCCUCUUCUGUUGGUCUGAGGGGUUCGAGUAAUGAUUAAUAGGGAUAGUUGGGGGCAUUAGUACUUUGCUGUCAGAGGUGAAGUUCUCGGAUUUGCAAAAGACUAACUUAUGCGAAAGCAUUUGCCAAGGAUGUUUUCAUUA